UGAAGUUAGCGGCGGACGGGUGAGUAACACGUGGGUAACCUGCCCAUAAGACUGGGAUAACUCCGGGAAACCGGGGCUAAUACCGGAUAACAUUUUGAACCGCAUGGUUCGAAAUUGAAAGGCGGCUUCGGCUGUCACUUAUGGAUGGACCCGCGUCGCAUUAGCUAGUUGGUGAGGUAACGGCUCACCAAGGCAACGAUGCGUAGCCGACCUGAGAGGGUGAUCGGCCACACUGGGACUGAGACACGGCCCAGACUCCUACGGGAGGCAGCAGUAGGGAAUCUUCCGCAAUGGACGAAAGUCUGACGGAGCAACGCCGCGUGAGUGAUGAAGGCUUUCGGGUCGUAAAACUCUGUUGUUAGGGAAGAACAAGUGCUAGUUGAAUAAGCUGGGCACCUUGA
Molecule: ribosomal RNA, 401 nt
Filed under: uncultured Bacillus sp.
Lineage: Bacteria; Bacillati; Bacillota; Bacilli; Caryophanales; Bacillaceae
Description: bacterial SSU rRNA
Rfam family: Bacterial small subunit ribosomal RNA
Source: RNAcentral